UUGGACCUGAUAUCAGGUAAGACUACCCGCUGAACUUAAGCAUAUUAAUAAGCGGAGGAAAAGAAACUAACAAGGAUUCCCCUAGUAACGGCGAGUGAAGCGGGAUGAGCUCAAGCUUAAAAUCUCUGUGCCAGUUUGGCAUGGCGAAUUGUAGUCUAUGGAGGCGCUGUCAGUGCGAUUGCGUGGGUUAAGUUCCUUGGAAGAGGACAGCAUCGAGGGUGAUACUCCCGUGUAUGCCUGUGCAAUUGUGCGUACGACACGUUUUCUUUGAGUCGCGUUGUUUGGGAAUGCAGCGCAAAGUAGGUGGUAAAUUCCAUCUAAAGCUAAAUAUUGGUGCGAGACCGAUAGCGAACAAGUACCGUGAGGGAAAGAUGAAAAGAACUUUGAAAAGAGAGUUAAAGAGUACCUGAAACUGCUGAAAGGGAAUCGAAUCGUUUCCAGUGUCUAUAAUCUGUGGCAUAUUUCAUUGGCGAGUGUGUGCGUGCAUUGUUUUGGAAGCAGUUUUCUGUUCCUGGCUGUGUUGUGCAUAUGCUUGCUGGUGCCCUGUGUCGCGGUGGGACGUCAGAGUCAAUUCGUAAGUUGCGGGAAAUGGCUAUUGGGGAGGUAGGUCACUUCGGUGGCUGUUAUAUCCUGAUAGCUAGUAGUCGUGGCUGGGAUUGAGGUGCCUACAACGUGCUUUCGAGUGUCUGGGUGUCUCGUUUGGUAAGUUAUCUUGACAGCUUGCUGUGUUGGUGAUAUUAUCGAGCGAUUGAUGUCUGGUCUAACUUGUUGCCGUUCGGGACUUUGACGAAAUGGAGCGAUCCGUCCCGUCUUGAAACACGGACCAAGGAGUCUAACAUGUGUGCAAGUGUUCGGGUGUGGAAACCCAAACGCGAAAUGAAAGUGAAGGGCAGUUUACUGUCUGAGGUAGGAAACCUUUGUUCUCAAGGGUGGCACUAUCGACCGAUCAUGAACCUUCGUGGUGAAAGAUUUGAGUUUGAGCACAUAUGUUGGUACCCGAAAGAUGGUGAACUAUGCCUGAGUAGGGUGAAGCCAGGGGAAACUCUGGUGGAGGCUCGUAGCGAUUCUGACGUGCAAAUCGAUCGUCAAACUUGGGUAUAGGGGCGAAAGACUAAUCGAACCAUCUAGUAGCUGGUUCCCUCCGAAAUUUCCCUCAGGAUAGCAGCAACUUCUUUUCGAUAGUUUUAUGAGGUAAAGCGAAUGAUUAGAGGCCUCUGGGAAGAAACUUCCUGGACCUAUUCUCAAACUUUAAAUCUGUAAGACCUGCAGGUUUCUUAAUUGAACUUGUGGAUGUGAAUAUCAAGUUGCUAGUGGGCCAUACGGGGUAAGCUCGUCUGGCGAUGCGGGAUGAACCGAACGUGAUGUUAAAGUGCCAAAGUGCCCGCUCACCUAGAUACCAUAAAAGGUGUUGGUUCAUUUAGACAGCAGGACGGGUGGCCAUGGAAGUCGGAAUCCGCUAAGGAGUGUGUAACAAC
RNAcentral lists this ribosomal RNA (1475 nucleotides) under Pythium oligandrum. RNAcentral's name for it is "eukaryotic LSU rRNA". It matches the Rfam family "Eukaryotic large subunit ribosomal RNA", at positions 1 to 1289 of the family's 3401-position model. Lineage: Eukaryota; Oomycota; Peronosporomycetes; Pythiales; Pythiaceae. The record is from RNAcentral.